Long non-coding RNA from Pogoniulus pusillus (Red-fronted tinkerbird), 948 nucleotides. RefSeq lists it as uncharacterized. Lineage: Eukaryota; Metazoa; Chordata; Aves; Piciformes; Lybiidae. The transcript has 2 exons. The record is from RefSeq and is a predicted model, not a curated record.
GUGGAUGAGGAGUAAGAUAGCUGUGUGAGAAGGAAAUCUGAGUGGAAUGCAAUCAGCUAGCAGAGAGGUCUGCUGUGUAGCAUGAUUCAACGUUAUUCCAGCAGCACUGGGAGAGUCCAGAAUCGAGGAGAUUAUUUGUGCCAAAAUGAAUCAUGUUUUGUCUGAAACAUUUGAAAUGCCAAAGGUUCAAAAGUACCCUGAGAUCCUGCACUGAAUGAUCAUCUUUGAGGCUGCUGAUGUUCACCAUGACCCAGUUCAAACUCGCCUGACCAAGCAUUUCAAGACUGCAGUAGGAUAAAUCUGGAAUAUUUCAGUCCUGUUUAAUCACCUCCAUCUGUGCUUUCAAGAUACAAAAGCUACAUAAAUCUCUAAACCUUCUAUCUGGUGUUUAGACUGAUGCAAGCACUCCAUAACCUGGAUUCUUCCUCAGCUGUUAUCUCCCUACGCUGUUUACAGAGUGGCCUUGCAGUGCUACUGUUCUGCUUUGUAUCUCUUUCUGAUCCUUCUGUAGGAUAAAUGAUGACACACAACACAGCUCAGUAGUGGACCCAGCAGUGUAGGAGGAUCUUGCAUUUCAUUCUGACUGUGCUGAAGGUUAGUGUCUUUCAGCUGAUGUGAUUCACAUAUUCUGUUUUCCUGUCUUUGAGGAAUGCAUUUUUUGUUUUCUUAAGGAUAGAAGUUUGGCUUGAAUGAGCUUUUUCAGCCUUGCCAUUUAGCCCAGCUAGAUUCAACAGGCAAUGAGAACCUGUCAGCCUUUCUAGAUUCAUUUCUCCCCUUGGUUUUGUUUGCUUGGGGUUCUUGUUUGUCUGUUUUUUAGCAAAGUGUGUUGUAAUGUAGCUCUUGGAGACUGUGCCAAGGAGCCUAAAGGUGUUUAGUCUCCUAACUCCUAUUUAGGCACAGUCAUUGCCACUGAAAUGUGAUGGAAAUAAGGAGCUAAAUACAAUUGAA